Molecule: long non-coding RNA, 82 nt
Organism: Sinocyclocheilus grahami
Lineage: Eukaryota; Metazoa; Chordata; Actinopteri; Cypriniformes; Cyprinidae
Exons: 3
Source: RefSeq, a predicted model, not a curated record
UUGCUUGAGAGUCACUCUGGGGUGUAUUCCAAAAAGCAUGGUUAACUUACCAUCUGCUAAACCCCGAACUUUCGGUUGAUUA